This 465-nucleotide ribosomal RNA is filed under the name uncultured bacterium. RNAcentral's name for it is "partial 16S ribosomal RNA". It matches the Rfam family "Bacterial small subunit ribosomal RNA", at positions 28 to 507 of the family's 1533-position model. The record is from RNAcentral.
GAUGAACGCUGGCGGCGUGCUUAACACAUGCAAGUCGAACGGAAAGGCUCCUGCUUGCAGGGGUACUCGAGUGGCGAACGGGUGAGUAACACGUGGGUGAUCUGCCCUUCACUUCGGGAUAAGCUUAGGAAACUGGGGCUAAUACCGGAUAGGAGCAUCGGCUGCAUGGCAUGGUGGAGAGUUUUUCGGCGGGGGAUGAUCUAGCGGCGUAUCAGCUUGUUGGUGGGGUAGUGGCUUACCAAGGCGUCGACGGGUAGCCGGCCUGAGAGGGUGUACGGCCACAUUGGGACUGAGAUACGGCCCAGACUCCUACGGGAGGCAGCAGUGGGGAAUAUUGCACAAUGGGCGCAAGCCUGAUGCAGCGACGCCGCGUGGGGGAUGACGGCCUUCGGGUUGUAAACUCCUUUCGCUUGGGACGAAGCGUAAGUGACGGUAACUGGAGAAGAAGCACCGGCUAACUACGUG